RNAcentral lists this small RNA (406 nucleotides) under Pongo abelii (Sumatran orangutan). RNAcentral describes it as "processed transcript". The record is from RNAcentral. Lineage: Eukaryota; Metazoa; Chordata; Mammalia; Primates; Hominidae.
AUUCUAUGCUCUGUUGGUCUCCUGAAGGGACUCAGUGAAUUCUUGGAGGAGACACCUUGCAACACGUUCCUGUGCAAAUCCUGCAGGAAAUCUAGGGGUUCUCCCUGGACUUGGUUGGCUUUAACCCCUUCUCCUGGCCUCGUGUAUGCCCCAUAUCAGGAGAGAGGACAGCUUCAGUAAAUGUACUAGGAUCCAGAGAGGCUGGAGUGCAGUGACAUGAUUUUGGCUCACUGCAACCUCUGCCUCUCAGGUUCAACCGAUUCUUGUGCCUCAGAUUCCCAAGUAGCUAGGAUUGCAGGUCCUGAAAAGAUUGCAUCAGCCCUUUAGCCAUUACCUGCCUCUUGAUGAAGCGUCAGAGCAGGUGUGCAUACACCUGCCAGCACAGAAAAACCUUAACGUAAAGUUG